GACGAACGCUGGCGGCGUGCUUAACACAUGCAAGUCGAACGGAAAGGCCCUGCUUUUGUGGGGUGCUCGAGCGGCGAACGGGUGAGUAACACGUGAGUAACCUGCCCUUGACUUUGGGAUAACUUCAGGAAACUGGGGCUAAUACCGGAUAGGAGCUCCUGCUGCAUGGUGGGGGUUGGAAAGUUUCGGCGGUUGGGGAUGGACUCGCGGCUUAUCAGCUUGUUGGUGGGGUAGUGGCUUACCAAGGCUUUGACGGGUAGCCGGCCUGGGAGGGUGACCGGCCACAUUGGGCCUGAGGUACGGCCCAGACUCCUACGGGAGGCAGCAGGGGGGAAUAUUGCACAAUGGGCGGAAGCCUGAUGCGGCAACGCCGCGUGCGUGAUGACGGCCUUCGGGUUGUAAACCGCUUCCGCCUGUGACGAAGCGUGAGUGACGGUAAUGGGUAAAGAAGCACCGGCUAACUACGUG
RNAcentral lists this ribosomal RNA (468 nucleotides) under uncultured bacterium. Its description in RNAcentral is "partial 16S ribosomal RNA". It matches the Rfam family "Bacterial small subunit ribosomal RNA", at positions 28 to 507 of the family's 1533-position model. The record is from RNAcentral.